GACGAACGCUGGCGGCGUGCUUAACACAUGCAAGUCGAACGAAGAGCGACGGAAGCUUGCUUCUAUCAAUCUUAGCGGCGCACGGGUGAGUAACGCGUAAUCAACCUGCCCUUCAGAGGGGGACAACAGUUGGAAACGACUGCUAAUACCGCAUACGAUCUAACCUCGGCAUCGAGGAUAGAUGAAAGGUGGCCUCUACAUGUAAGCUAUCACUGAAGGAGGGUAUUGCGUCUGAUUAGCUAGUUGGAGGGGUAACGUCCCACCAAGGCGAUGAUCAGUAGCAGGUCUGAGAGGAUGAACGGCCACAUUGGGACUGAGACACGGCCCAGACUCCUACGGGAGGCAGCAGUGGGGAAUCUUCCGCAAUGGACGAAAGUCUGACGGAGCAACGCCGCGUGAGUGAUGACGGCCUUCGGGUUGUAAAGCUCUGUUAAUCGGGACGAAAGGCCUUCUUGCGAAUAGGGAGAAGGAUUGACGGUACCGGAAUAGAAAGCCACGGCUAACUACGUG
RNAcentral lists this ribosomal RNA (510 nucleotides) under uncultured bacterium. RNAcentral's name for it is "partial 16S ribosomal RNA". It matches the Rfam family "Bacterial small subunit ribosomal RNA", at positions 28 to 507 of the family's 1533-position model. The record is from RNAcentral.